Molecule: long non-coding RNA, 715 nt
Organism: Myripristis murdjan (pinecone soldierfish)
Lineage: Eukaryota; Metazoa; Chordata; Actinopteri; Holocentriformes; Holocentridae
Exons: 3
Source: RefSeq, a predicted model, not a curated record
UCAAUGGUAAGAGUGUAAUGAUGCCUUCAGGGUGCUUCCUCCUUCUUCAUGCCAAUUGGUGCUGUCAAAGUGCUGUCCGUCAGACUGUAACUCACACACCUGAGGAGACUCCCAGCCUGCAGACGGAUCACCGGCGACGGCCCCGAUGAGGGAGGAGGAGGUGCUGAAGUGGUGUGGGACCGUUUUCGGUCGGCUCAGGGUCCUGACGGUCUUCUGUGAGCUGCCUGGCUUCACGGGCUGCAGGUCUUCAGGCUGGAUCAGCGGCCUGGAGUCCGGAGCGUCCGCUGAAUCCGACGAGAGCUCCCUCUGCAAGCCGGCCGGGGCCGUGCUAUUCCUGCACUCUGCGGCAGACAGAGGGAACGCAAAGCGAAUGAAGUGAAGGACCCCUUACGGCAGAUUCAACUGACGGAAAAAAAAACAUGGUGUAAUCUAUCAGUGAGGAAGUUGGCGAACUCCACGAAGUUGAUGAAGCUGUCUUUGUCCGCGUCGCAGUCGUCCAUCAGGUCGCUGAGGAUCGGCUCGCACAGGUCCAGCUGCACCUCACGGCACACAGCCAGCAGGUCCUCCUUGUCAAUCAUCCCCCUGCCCUUCUGUUCAAUUACACACACACACACACACACACACACACACACACACACGCACACAUGCACACACAGUCAUGGAUGUGAUUUCCUCCAACCAUGGACUUUUUCAAAGUUUGUCAGUGGUACCACCU